RNAcentral lists this ribosomal RNA (460 nucleotides) under uncultured bacterium. Its description in RNAcentral is "partial 16S ribosomal RNA". It matches the Rfam family "Bacterial small subunit ribosomal RNA", at positions 338 to 795 of the family's 1533-position model. The record is from RNAcentral.
CCUACGUGCGGCAGCAGUGAGGAAUAUUGGUCAAUGGCCGGAAGGCUGAACCAGCCAUGCCGCGUGAAGGUCAGUGCCCUAUGGGCGUUAAACUUCUUUUGUGCGGGAGCAAUAAUGGUCACGUGUGGCCAGACGAUAGUACCGUACGAAUAAGCAUCGGCUAACUCCGGUCCAGCAGCCGCGGUAAUACGGGGGAUGCAAGCGUUAUCCGGAUUUAUUGGGUUUAAAGGGUGCGUAGGCUGUGAGGUAAGUCAGCGGUGAAAUGCCCCCGCUCAACGGGGUGAAGUGCCAUUGAUACUGCCUUGCGGGAGUGCGGAUGCCGUGGGAGGAAUGUGUGGUGUAGCGGUGAAAUGCAUAGAUAUCACACAGAACACCGAUUGCGAAGGCAUCUCACGAAUCCGCGAUUGACGCUGAUGCACGAAAGCGUGGGUAUCAAACAGGAUUAGAUACCCUAGUAGUC